Molecule: small RNA, 29 nt
Filed under: Bombyx mori (domestic silkworm)
Lineage: Eukaryota; Metazoa; Arthropoda; Insecta; Lepidoptera; Bombycidae
Description: ovarian small RNA-35450
Source: RNAcentral
UGUAUACGCUUUAGCUUUAUCAAUUAGUC